RNAcentral lists this ribosomal RNA (507 nucleotides) under Myzus philadelphi. RNAcentral's name for it is "partial 16S ribosomal RNA". Lineage: Eukaryota; Metazoa; Arthropoda; Insecta; Hemiptera; Aphididae. The record is from RNAcentral.
AUUAAGUUUAAUUUAAUAUAGGAUCUGCUCAAUGAUUUAUUAAAUAGCUGCAGUAUUUUGACUGUGCAAAGGUAGCAUAAUAAUUAGUCUUUUAAUUGAGGACUUGAAUGAAAGAUUUGAUGAGAAAUAAACUUUAUUAUUUAUAUAGUUAAAAUUUUAUUUUUAAGUAAAAAAGCUUAAAUUAUUUAAAGGGACGAUAAGACCCUAUAAAACUUUAUAAAUAUAAAUUUUAAUUUUUUUGGGAUUAUAGUUAUUUUAAUUUUGUUAUUUAUUUUAUUGGGGUGAUAAAAAAAAUUAUUAAACUUUUUUUAAAAUUUUACAUUAAUUAAUGAAUAUUUGAAUUAAAAUUUUUAAUUAAAGGAAAAAGUUACUUUAGGGAUAACAGCGUAAUUAAUUUUUUAAGUUCAAAUUUAAAAAUUAGUUUGCGACCUCGAUGUUGAAUUAAGAUUAAUCUUAGGUGCAAAAUUUUAAGUAUUAGGUCUGUUCGACCUUUAAAUUCUUACGUGA